This 219-nucleotide ribosomal RNA is filed under the name uncultured bacterium. RNAcentral describes it as "partial 16S ribosomal RNA". It matches the Rfam family "Bacterial small subunit ribosomal RNA", at positions 328 to 539 of the family's 1533-position model. The record is from RNAcentral.
ACGCUCGACACCUACUGGAGGCAGCAGUGAGGAAUAUUGGUCAAUGGGCGCUAGCCUGAACCAGCCAAGUAGCGUGAAGGAUGAAGGCUCUAUGGGUCGUAAACUUCUUUUAUAUAAGAAUAAAGUGCAGUAUGUAUACUGUUUUGUAUGUAUUAUAUGAAUAAGGAUCGGCUAACUCCGUGCCAGCAAGCCGCGGUAAUCUGAGCGGGCUGGCAAGGC